Molecule: ribosomal RNA, 3776 nt
Filed under: Triticum aestivum (bread wheat)
Lineage: Eukaryota; Viridiplantae; Streptophyta; Magnoliopsida; Poales; Poaceae
Description: partial small subunit ribosomal RNA
Source: RNAcentral
CCGGACCCAAGGGAAAGAGGUACCGUCUACUCUCUUUCCCCUCGUCUUCGACUUCUUUUCUCUUCUACGCUCUCACGCCCAAAGACACGAGGGUAGGGCGAGAAAUAUUUCCUCGCUCCACCCCCGAGCCGGCGGGGCGAGUCGCUUAGUUCCGUGCCCUUCCCGUCCCUCAGUCCCGGUUGGGCGACGGAGACGAGCGCUGCUGGGUCAAAGGGUGAGGUGGCAGGCACUGGGGUUCGCGUACCCUCGGCGCACCGCCUCUACGUCUUGGUUCCGCUGUCUACUCCGCCGGAGCGAGGCGGGGCACUUGCGCCCCUCACCUGCAGGGCUUUUGGUACGUGGCCGGGGCAGGUCAUUUACGUAGUGCGGGGGUGUGGAUGGAGGCAAAUCUCUCCUCCCGCACUUGGCAGGGGUAGUAGCACCGGACCGCGUACGAACUCCCCGAAUCGGGGCGCGUGUGGAGGGUACUAGAGAGGGUGCUGCGGCGCAAACUGCGCACGGCAAGACCCGCACGCGCCACCCUCGCCUCUCUAUACGCCGCACUGGAUCCGGCGCGCACGGGCACGUGACAAAACCCGGACCGGGUUGCCGCGAGCCGUGGCACAUACCGGGUCCGGGCCUCCGAGGACAGCCACAUGAUCUCAUCCCCAUGGGAUCAUGGGGCUUGAACACGUGCCCGUCAGCGUCGUGGGGCGCCGUUCCGAACGGCCCACUGGCGGUUCUGGGAGGCACCAAGGGAACUUCUGGUAAGUUCUUGUUUCAUGAGUUUGGUUCCAGGGCUGUUCUCCUCGAAUGGCCCUCCCGGUUGGUUCCGGGGCCGUUCUCCUCGAACGGCCCUUCCUGAUGGUUCCGGGGACGUUCUCCUAGAACGGCCCUUCUCUGUACUGGGGCCGUUCUCCUCGAACGGCCCUUCCGAUGAGUUCCGUAUGGUUCUUUCGAACGACGCUGCGCGGGACGCAGGGCCGUUCUAGGCCGCUCGCUGUUCGAAGGCCUGCGCUGUUCUGCUGCCGGCGCCGUUCCUCGAACGGCGCCCUUUGGGGGUGAAGCCCGGGCGCGAGGUCGUGUGGACGAUUGCACAGCGAGACCCUGAGAGGGUUCGUGUGCACCGUCCUCCGGCACGUCGAUCCCCAUGCACCACCGUUCGCCUCUACUUCUCUUCGGGUAGCACCGUUCGCCACCGCGAGGAGUGCCAGUGGAAAACGUGACAAACCCUCUGAGUCUGUCCGUAAAUUACGGAAACAGGGGACGGCAGUCUCAAUCCAUCCCGCGUGACAUAGGUGUCAUCGCCAUCGACGUGGAUGGCGUAGGAAAAGGUAAAAAUGGGAAGAUCAGAUGCAACGGUGGACAGCCACUGGGGAACUUUCAUAUUUUCCUCCGGGUUCGCGUUGCAUCUCCUCCAGGCCGGUCAAGCCGAGUAACCUCUGUGGUCUUUGUGAGGGUGCGAGUCAGACCAUCGCAGCUAGCGAGGACUCGUUUCCAAGUUAUGUGUGUUUGUUCGUCGUCAUCCCAAAAUGCGUAGGCACGCCGGGCUUCGACCCAUUUUGGCGGGCGCACGUGGCAGAGCUAGGCGAGAAACACGCGAGAGGCGGAGGGUGGCUUGGCUUUCCCCGGGCUAGGGGUAUCCACAAGCACCUAGUCAAGGGGGCUGUCAAAAAAGGAGGUUUUCAACCAAGUUGCAACACAAAACAAGAACCCCUAUUUACAUUUUGACUUGUUAUCUAAAACUAAGGUAUACGAGACAAAAGGAAGGUUUUCAGACAUCUAAUAACUAUGUUGUUUGAAUUAAAAUUACCUGCGUAUUUAUAUCACGGUUACAUAGUAUUACUAUUUUUACAAACAAAACCGCCGAAAAAAGCGAUAAAAGGAAUAUGCUGGUUUUCCAACAUCACUACGUUCCUGUAAAACGGUAGAGUCACCCUCGUUUGCUACCUUCCAAGGUGGACAAUAUUUGUCGUUAAUACAAAACAACUAGGGAUGUACCGGAGGAUGUCGCAGUUCUUAGGGUAGAGACAGUAGAUCGAACGUUUGUACUUCUAAUGGGAAAUGUUCUGAAGUCUUUGUAGGUAUAUACGCACGGGAGAAAUACGAUACUAUAUUUAAGAUACAAAUUACCGUAAAAGUGCUCAUAAAGUGUACUCGUAUACUUUUCUCCUCCACAAUUUUGGCGAGUAUUAUACCUGGCACUAGGAAAGUGUAAGAACAAGGGUAUUAUACCUGGGACUAGGAAAGUGUGAGAAUAAGGGUACUCGUAUACUUUUCUCCUCCACAAUUUUGGCGAGUAAAGUGUGAGAACACUAAAGAAUGAAGUUUAACCUUAAGUGACGUAUUUUGUUUUCGCUGCAUGUUUAUACUGCAUAUUUAUACUGCAUAGUUGCCCCGCGCCGCACGGCGGCGCGCCCAUACCGAUCAAUCCUAACAAGUUAUUCUUUAAUCAAGUAACUGACAUUCGAUCCAAUAUACAAUGAGGGAGGAAAGUAGAUAUAUCCCAGAUUACGCAAAAAGCUCCGAUUGAAACUGAUUUAUAAUCUUGAUAUUAUAUACUGUACGUUAAAUGUGUUUCGUGUGGCAAUUUAAGCACACACUUUCAUCGAAAGUUACUAUAUUAAAAGUGUAACACGUACAGUACAUGAUAAUUAGAAUAGUUACCAGUUUCCACCAGAAUUUUUUACGUAAUCCGGGAUAUAUCUACCUUCCUCCCUCAUAGACAUUUACAAAGCAAAACAUCAACUCUUAGUCUGCCUGCGAGCCCUGUAAGUUGGGAGCCGUUCUCGCAAUAUGUGUAUUCCGACUUCUUAUAUGGUGAGGUUGAUCAUAGAAACGUUGCCCAAGGACAAGACGAUUUAGUUUCUAUUAUUCCCGUAGACGAUCUGUAUUAAAAAAAAAUGUUCCUCUACCACACGUCAAUAAAACAAGGACACUUAGAUAGAAUACGGCUUCAUACAUACGUACACACAUAAAAAAAAACGUCAAAUACUUGCGACUACCCUUUCACAUGGCUGUACUCCAUGAGGCAAGACUUAUCCUGUCUGAGCCCUUCUCAGAUUAAUUGUUCUCGUUCAUCAUGAGGAAAACCAAGAUGUCAUGCUAUCUAGAAAUAAAAGACUACAGCUGUUCCACCAACUACUUUUAAGUUUGUCGACGUUGACUCCUUUUGGUCUCUUUGUUUUUGUCCAAUCCGUUGUAGGUUCUUCGUUUGAUUUGCAAGUACAUUAGACAACCGCUCUCGGAAUAAAUCAAAGUACGUCUGCCACGGGGUGAGAUGGAAGGCCUCCAAAGGUACGAUACCUAAGUGUUGGUACCCGCAUAGAGAAGGUACACGACAUCUCGUCCACCUGCACCUAAUCCCCGGUCUGGCUCGACCUGCUGGCCACAAAAGCCUCUGUCUCCUAUUCCGGUUGCUAUCGUCGAUGUGUCACCCCAGACCGUCCUAGUUAUUCCACUGGGCGUCCCGAACCUUGUAGGCGCUCUGUACCGGCGUGGUCCCCUCGCGCAGAAGCCUUUCUACUUAUGCGGUCCGGUUAUUAUAUCUGGAUAAUCGUAAGAAGUUUGAUGAUAUACAGAUGAGACGAAAUAUUUUCCUUUGAGAAGACGACGUGAAGAUAAAAUUAGUAACAUAGAAUUGACGUUACAAGCUUAUAAUUGUUCAUGUAGUCAUAUUGACUACGUGUUUCACUGCGUCUCCUCCGCGCGGGGUUGGUAAUCACAACUCAUUCUCACAUCCUGUACACCAAGUCGAUCCAUCCAUACAUCGACUAUCUUGACUUCCUUUAUACGGG